UACAGAGGUCUCGAGCGUUGUUCGGAUUCAUUGGGCGUAAAGGGCGCGUAGGCGGUGCGGCAAGUUGGGAGUGAAAUCUCUGGGCUUAACCCAGAGGCUGCUUCCAAAACUGCUGUGCUUGAGUGUGGGAGAGGCGCGUGGAAUUGCAGGUGUAGCGGUGAAAUGCGUAGAUAUCUGCAGGAACACCCGUGGCGAAAGCGGCGCGCUGGACCACUACUGACGCUGAGGAACGAAAGCUAGGGGAGCAAACAGG
This 253-nucleotide ribosomal RNA is filed under the name uncultured bacterium. RNAcentral describes it as "partial 16S ribosomal RNA". It matches the Rfam family "Bacterial small subunit ribosomal RNA", at positions 524 to 776 of the family's 1533-position model. The record is from RNAcentral.